GAGCCGAGUCUGGAUGUCUCUGUUUUGCCUGCUGCCCUCAAAUCCCACUUAAGUGUCAGUGUAGGCCUGAAUGAAUCUUUUUACAGCCAGUGUGGACAGGAGGAAAGAUUUUAACUAAUAACUCUGUCAAACUUGAUAUGGACAGGUUAGUCAAACUAGCAAACAUGUGAACCCAGACCUUUUUAUUUUGAUAUCUGAUCAUCUGAUAGGAGUUUUUCAUUCUGUAAGCAAUAUACACAAUACCUGAAAACAUUUCACGUAGUCUUCUCUAUGCAGUAACCUCAGUAUUGUACCCUUCAUUGUCUUAAGUACGGCUCUCUGAAGCAGCAGGGCAGGUCGGCGGAUGCAGUCGUUCUACGCUGAUUUUUGCUUUAAAUUACUCUUCUAAUAGGAAUCUAAGCAGUGUUUUGCUUUACCACUUUGUAUUUUAUGCUCAGUGAUUCUCAUCGAUGUUUAUUGUCCUGCGACGCCACACAUUACCAUGGCGCGAUUGCUAAUUCAGCAAUGUGUUUUAGGUCAGGAUUCAAUUGACGACAUUUAAAUGGUGCGAGCAGCGCCACCUGUGACUUUUCCUUUCUUUUCCCCCUCUGCUUUGGGAAGUAUCCACUCAAAUAAAGAUGUCUAAUGAUCCACAUCACUGAUCGUCUGUUGCUGUAAGUAAUUGCACUAAAUGUCCUCCUUUACAGUGUUUGAAAUCUGUUGGUAGUUUGAAGAGUUUCAAAAUGUAAAGCACACAAAAAAAUCACGGAGAAAUCACAGGUUGUGCGUUUCUGUAGAUAGCUGUAUUUUUUGUAUAGAUAGCUUCGAUGAUGCUUGUCGUUAAUGCCUUAAAUUCUGCUUUGUACAAUGUGUGAAAUUUAAACGAUGCUCCAGGUAGGCUCAGCGUCCCCGUUUCAGGUUGAAUAAGAGCGAAUCAGAAAUGACAAACAUUCAUAUUUAGAUGUCUCAAAGGUUGACUGUGGCCUUUCUUUGGGACAUGAACUCUGCAACGUUUUGUUUUGGUUUAAUUUUUCUUUUUAAAUUCAUUUCCUAUUCCGUUAAGUUUUUAAUAGAUUCUUUAGGCUCAUAUUUAACAUUCAGAUCGUUUUUCUUUUUUUUUUUUUCCAAUAUGUGGGAAUGGAAAGGAGGCUUUUCUCUGCACUUUUUUUGUACACAAGACAGCAAAAGGAGGCAAUCUAUUAAUUCCUCACAUGCAUAGACAGAUGCACAGUUGUUUUUAUUGUUGUUGCACAGAAUUUGUAGGGUUUUUUUUCUUUCCUCCUUAGGAAUUAAUGGGUUGUGUUCGGUAUUUUGUGCUCUGACAGUCUGAACAGCAGAGGCGGGUUUGGAUAAGUGAGAAAGGCUGCAUAAAGCCAAAACUUUUCUAUCGGUGGUAAUGUGACUCUUUUUCUUUCUUUCUUUCUUUUUUUAAAAAAAAAAUGUUUUGUGGCGUUGCUUGAUGGAAUUUCUAUGUGAACUACUUCCUGUUCAUCCAGUAUUGAACUACAAAGGUGAAUUUAGGACGGUUUUGGUGUCGCUGAUGUCGAAUUAAAUCAGGAGAAAUGAGAACGGUUAAAAGUUUUAAAGAAGUUUGUGUAUUUUCAGAUAUGACUUUGUACUAUUUUUUUUUUCUUCCGCACAUGGUGACACUGCUUUUUAUGUGACGCAUAACUAAAAACAAAACAAAAAACAGCAUCUUUUUUAAAUGCCUAAAUCUGCAAAAUAUAUGCAAUUAUGUAAAUGUAACAUUCAAUCCUCAAGUAUAAUCCAGGUUGUAUGAACUUUGUAUAGUGAGUUUUAAUAUCGUAUGGCCGUACCAAUAUGUAUUGAUCUUAAUCAGAAGCCUUAGAGUUGUCGACCCAAAGUGCUCCCUUAGAAUACCCUACACCUACCUGACUUUAACAAAGCAUUACUAUCUCUAUUUUGUUGCGUUUUUAUUUGUAUCCUUUUUGAAUAAAAUAGAUUUGUACUGUAUAUUUGUACCUCUCUGUGAACUACUUAGAGCGUUUUUUUUCGUUUUGUUUUUUUUGUUGUUUUGAUUUGUUUUGCUGUUUUAAUUCUAUGUACUUUAAGGACACAAAGAUAUUGUAUUUUUAUUGUUACAGCUAACUUGGAGACAUUGCAUUUAUCAUGUUUGUUAAGUAAACACAAUAUAAUAUAUAUAUAUAUAUAUAAAUAUAUAUACAAAUAUAAAUAUAAACAAUUAUCCAACUUGUGUGCU
Oreochromis aureus is the source of this 2200-nucleotide long non-coding RNA. NCBI's taxonomy places the organism in Eukaryota, Metazoa, Chordata, Actinopteri, Cichliformes, Cichlidae. The record is from Ensembl.